RNAcentral lists this ribosomal RNA (304 nucleotides) under Staphylococcus aureus. Its description in RNAcentral is "partial 23S ribosomal RNA". It matches the Rfam family "Bacterial large subunit ribosomal RNA", at positions 1008 to 1316 of the family's 2925-position model. The record is from RNAcentral. Lineage: Bacteria; Bacillati; Bacillota; Bacilli; Caryophanales; Staphylococcaceae.
UGUUCGAAAGGGAAACAGCCCAGACCACCAGCUAAGGUCCCAAAAUAUAUGUUAAGUGGAAAAGGAUGUGGCGUUGCCCAGACAACUAGGAUGUUGGCUUAGAAGCAGCCAUCAUUUAAAGAGUGCGUAAUAGCUCACUAGUCGAGUGACACUGCGCCGAAAAUGUACCGGGGCUAAACAUAUUACCGAAGCUGUGGAUUGUCCUUUGGACAAUGGUAGGAGAGCGUUCUAAGGGCGUUGAAGCAUGAUCGUAAGGACAUGUGGAGCGCUUAGAAGUGAGAAUGCCGGUGUGAGUAGCGAAAGA